AAAAUAAAACUAAAAUUAAAAUGAAAAACGUGGGAGGGUAUGAGUGAACAUAUUUAUUGAGUUAGUGGCAUUAGUGAUAAAAUUCCCAAUGAUGCUUGACUGCAUUCUAACAUAAGACGGCCCGUGUCAGAUUUAAUAGUUUUCACAUCAAACAAUCCCUCCUUUGCAGCUCUAUUAAUCAAAUCCCAUAUU
Molecule: small RNA, 192 nt
Filed under: Arabidopsis thaliana (thale cress)
Lineage: Eukaryota; Viridiplantae; Streptophyta; Magnoliopsida; Brassicales; Brassicaceae
Description: ATSL085280
Source: RNAcentral